RNAcentral lists this ribosomal RNA (187 nucleotides) under uncultured Banisveld landfill bacterium BVC07. RNAcentral's name for it is "partial 16S ribosomal RNA". It matches the Rfam family "Bacterial small subunit ribosomal RNA", at positions 340 to 524 of the family's 1533-position model. The record is from RNAcentral.
UACGGGAGGCAGCAGUAAGGAAUAUUGGUCAAUGGGCGAAAGCCUGAACCAGCCAUGCCGCGUGCAGGAAGACGGCCCUACGGGUUGUAAACUGCUUUUGCAGGGGAAUAAACCUCAUUACGAGUAAUGAGUUGAAUGUACUCUGAGAAUAAGGAUCGGCUAACUCCGUGCCAGCAGCCGCGGUAAU